GGUCCCGGAACUUGAGAUCCUCCUGCCUCAGUCUCCCAGAGUCACUGAGAUUACAGAGCCCUCUUCACACCUUUCUCCCAGCAGCCUCCUCUCUUCCCUCAACCUUUCAAACUUCCACAAUGAGAAACACACAGCAAGUAUGAAAACCCGCUGCACUGUCCUACGAUCCAGGUUGUACAGCAAGCAAAUACACAAAGAAGAUGUGCCAGAGAUGUCCAAGUGCAUCGUCUGGCUGGUCUGCCCUCUGCCGCAGGCUGGCUGGAGCCCCAGGGAAAGGUAGCUUUGCUUCCAUCCCGACAGCAACUGAUAAGGAAACUGAGGCAUAGAGGUGACUGAACAUGCCCAAGGCCACGCAAUCAACAAGAAAAUGGGAUUGAACCCCAAAUGGUUGUUACCAUGAGGUUCCCAAGGAAGAAGGCUAUAACCAGCAAAUGACAGGUGGAGGCUUCUUCUCCCUGGAGAUCUACGUGAACUCUUGCUGACAUUCCUCCCCUCGCCCAGCGCACAUUGAGACCAAAGUCAGAGGAAAGUCCAAGACUCCCCCCACCCGUUGCUACUAUUCUGUGGCCCAGGGACAUGAUUUUUUUUUCUCAUUGCCCUUUCUGCACCUUGACCUCCUCUUUUAUCUGCCAGUUCACAGCAGCGUGGAUUUUCGUCCUUCAUGGGUAUCCACAGAAACAGGUCCUCAUAGACCCCGGGUUAAAAACACUCAGCUAUGUGGGGUGAAGGGCAGGCUUGCGAUCCACCUCUGCCUGCUCACUUACCUGCUUUCCUUUCUCUUCCUCUGCCCGCUGCUUGGUCCUCUCCAAGUGUUUGGGAAGUGGCCAGGCAGGGCAGGCAGGACAUUUCCUGAGUUUUGCUGCUUUCCUAUAGGCAAUGGUUGAAUGCCCACGAGGGUUUUAGCUCAGGACAUGCCAUGAUUCUUUGGGCUAAACCCUCCCUCCAUCCGUGCCUGGGGAGAGCAGAGGACAAGAUGGGUGAAAAUCUUUAAGAUUUUUUUUGCUUCCUUUAAUCAGCUCCCAAGUCCACUGACUUCUGGCUCUCUGGAGUCCAAUAGGAAAGAAAAGAAAGAGUGGAUUGAAAAUGAGAAAAUACUCUGUGAAGGAGUAAAAGACAGUUGGAAAUGUAACACUCAUUUGGAGAUGGAAUGAAUACAUGAGAUAAAAUCCUGAAUAAAUAUCUUGCAUGGUACUAAUUGUGUUUUAAAGGCUGCCAUCGGAGAACAGAUAAAACGAUGCUGUAUUUCAUUAGUGGCUCCUGUAAUUCUAUGGUAUUUGCCAGC
Molecule: non-coding RNA, 1282 nt
Organism: Ictidomys tridecemlineatus (thirteen-lined ground squirrel)
Lineage: Eukaryota; Metazoa; Chordata; Mammalia; Rodentia; Sciuridae
Source: RefSeq, a predicted model, not a curated record